AAUCAACGCUGGCGGCGUGCCUCAGACAUGCAAGUCGAACGCGAAAGGCCCCUUCGGGGGCCGAGUAGAGUGGCGUCCGGGUGAGUAACACGUGGGUAAUCUACCUUCGGGUGGGGAAUAACGACCGGAAACGGUCGCUAAUACCGCAUAAUGCAGCGGCACCUAAUGGUGACAGUUGUUAAAGCGGGGGGAUCGCAAGACCUCGCGCCUGAAGAGGAGCCCGCGGCGGAUUAGCUAGUGGUGGGGUAAAGCCUACCAAGGCGACGAUCCUUAGCUGGUCUGAGAGGAUGAUCAGCCACACUGGGACUGAGACACGGCCCAGACUCCUACGGGAGGCAGCAGUGGGGAAUAUUGGACAAUGGGCGAAAGCCUGAUCCAGCAAUGCCGCGUGAGUGAUGAA
This 400-nucleotide ribosomal RNA is filed under the name uncultured bacterium. RNAcentral describes it as "bacterial SSU rRNA". It matches the Rfam family "Bacterial small subunit ribosomal RNA", at positions 32 to 412 of the family's 1533-position model. The record is from RNAcentral.